Molecule: ribosomal RNA, 612 nt
Filed under: uncultured bacterium
Lineage: Bacteria
Description: bacterial SSU rRNA
Rfam family: Bacterial small subunit ribosomal RNA (bases 1-530)
Source: RNAcentral
CCUACGGGAGGCAGCAGUGGGGAAUAUUGCACAAUGGGCGAAAGCCUGAUGCAGCAACGCCGCGUGAGGGAUGACGGCCUUCGGGUUGUAAACCUCUUUUAGUAGGGAAGAAGGGCCUUCGGGUUUGACGGUACCUGCAGAAAAAGCACCGGCUAACUACGUGCCAGCAGCCGCGGUAAUACGUAGGGUGCAAGCGUUGUCCGGAAUUAUUGGGCGUAAAGAGCUCGUAGGCGGUUUGUCGCGUCUGCUGUGAAAACCCCGAGGCUCAACCUCGGGCCUGCAGUGGGUACGGGCAGACUAGAGUGCGGUAGGGGAGAAUGGAAUUCCUGGUGUAGCGGUGGAAUGCGCAGAUAUCAGGAGGAACACCGAUGGCGAAGGCAGUUCUCUGGGCCGUAACUGACGCUGAGGAGCGAAAGCGUGGGGAGCGAACAGGAUUAGAUACCCUGGUAGUCCACGCCGUAAACGUUGGGCGCUAGAUGUGGGGACCUUUCCACGGUUUCCGUGUCGCAGCUACGCAUAGUACGCCCGCCGUCGGGAGGUACGGCCGCGACGACGUAAACGUUAAACGUAAGUAGUAGACGCGNGAGAGCGACGACGACGACGACGGAGGAG